Molecule: ribosomal RNA, 1293 nt
Filed under: Acinetobacter oleivorans
Lineage: Bacteria; Pseudomonadati; Pseudomonadota; Gammaproteobacteria; Moraxellales; Moraxellaceae
Description: bacterial SSU rRNA
Rfam family: Bacterial small subunit ribosomal RNA
Source: RNAcentral
GGCGGCAGGCUUAACACAUGCAAGUCGAGCGGAGAGAGGUAGCUUGCUACUGAUCUUAGCGGCGGACGGGUGAGUAAUGCUUAGGAAUCUGCCUAUUAGUGGGGGACAACAUUUCGAAAGGAAUGCUAAUACCGCAUACGUCCUACGGGAGAAAGCAGGGGAUCUUCGGACCUUGCGCUAAUAGAUGAGCCUAAGUCGGAUUAGCUAGUUGGUGGGGUAAAGGCCUACCAAGGCGACGAUCUGUAGCGGGUCUGAGAGGAUGAUCCGCCACACUGGGACUGAGACACGGCCCAGACUCCUACGGGAGGCAGCAGUGGGGAAUAUUGGACAAUGGGCGGAAGCCUGAUCCAGCCAUGCCGCGUGUGUGAAGAAGGCCUUAUGGUUGUAAAGCACUUUAAGCGAGGAGGAGGCUACUUUAGUUAAUACCUAGAGAUAGUGGACGUUACUCGCAGAAUAAGCACCGGCUAACUCUGUGCCAGCAGCCGCGGUAAUACAGAGGGUGCAAGCGUUAAUCGGAUUUACUGGGCGUAAAGCGCGCGUAGGCGGCUAAUUAAGUCAAAUGUGAAAUCCCCGAGCUUAACUUGGGAAUUGCAUUCGAUACUGGUUAGCUAGAGUGUGGGAGAGGAUGGUAGAAUUCCAGGUGUAGCGGUGAAAUGCGUAGAGAUCUGGAGGAAUACCGAUGGCGAAGGCAGCCAUCUGGCCUAACACUGACGCUGAGGUGCGAAAGCAUGGGGAGCAAACAGGAUUAGAUACCCUGGUAGUCCAUGCCGUAAACGAUGUCUACUAGCCGUUGGGGCCUUUGAGGCUUUAGUGGCGCAGCUAACGCGAUAAGUAGACCGCCUGGGGAGUACGGUCGCAAGACUAAAACUCAAAUGAAUUGACGGGGGCCCGCACAAGCGGUGGAGCAUGUGGUUUAAUUCGAUGCAACGCGAAGAACCUUACCUGGCCUUGACAUAGUAAGAACUUUCCAGAGAUGGAUUGGUGCCUUCGGGAACUUACAUACAGGUGCUGCAUGGCUGUCGUCAGCUCGUGUCGUGAGAUGUUGGGUUAAGUCCCGCAACGAGCGCAACCCUUUUCCUUAUUUGCCAGCGAGUAAUGUCGGGAACUUUAAGGAUACUGCCAGUGACAAACUGGAGGAAGGCGGGGACGACGUCAAGUCAUCAUGGCCCUUACGGCCAGGGCUACACACGUGCUACAAUGGUCGGUACAAAGGGUUGCUACCUAGCGAUAGGAUGCUAAUCUCAAAAAGCCGAUCGUAGUCCGGAUUGGAGUCUGCAACUCGACUCCAUGAAG